ACAUGCAAGUCGAGCGGAUGAGAAGAGCUUGCUCUUCGAUUCAGCGGCGGACGGGUGAGUAAUGCCUAGGAAUCUGCCUGGUAGUGGGGGACAACGUUUCGAAAGGAACGCUAAUACCGCAUACGUCCUACGGGAGAAAGCAGGGGACCUUCGGGCCUUGCGCUAUCAGAUGAGCCUAGGUCGGAUUAGCUAGUUGGUGAGGUAAUGGCUCACCAAGGCGACGAUCCGUAACUGGUCUGAGAGGAUGAUCAGUCACACUGGAACUGAGACACGGUCCAGACUCCUACGGGAGGCAGCAGUGGGGAAUAUUGGACAAUGGGCGAAAGCCUGAUCCAGCCAUGCCGCGUGUGUGAAGAAGGUCUUCGGAUUGUAAAGCACUUUAAGUUGGGAGGAAGGGCAGUAAGUUAAUACCUUGCUGUUUUGACGUUACCGACAGAAUAAGCACCGGCUAACUCUGUGCCAGCAGCCGCGGUAAUACAGAGGGUGCAAGCGUUAAUCGGAAUUACUGGGCGUAAAGCGCGCGUAGGUGGUUCGUUAAGUUGGAUGUGAAAGCCCCGGGCUCAACCUGGGAACUGCAUCCAAAACUGGCGAGCUAGAGUAUGGUAGAGGGUGGUGGAAUUUCCUGUGUAGCGGUGAAAUGCGUAGAUAUAGGAAGGAACACCAGUGGCGAAGGCGACCACCUGGACUGAUACUGACACUGAGGUGCGAAAGCGUGGGGAGCAAACAG
This 727-nucleotide ribosomal RNA is filed under the name uncultured Pseudomonadota bacterium. Its description in RNAcentral is "bacterial SSU rRNA". It matches the Rfam family "Bacterial small subunit ribosomal RNA", at positions 53 to 775 of the family's 1533-position model. Lineage: Bacteria; Pseudomonadati; Pseudomonadota. The record is from RNAcentral.